Molecule: ribosomal RNA, 553 nt
Filed under: uncultured bacterium
Lineage: Bacteria
Description: bacterial SSU rRNA
Rfam family: Bacterial small subunit ribosomal RNA
Source: RNAcentral
AGUGAGGAAUUUUGCGCAAUGGGGGAAACCCUGACGCAGCAACGCCGCGUGAGUGAAGAAGGCCCUUGGGUCGUAAAGCUCUGUCAACUGGGAAGAAGUUGUUAUUGUUUAAUAAAUGAUAGCAUUGACGGUACCAGUGGAGGAAGCGCCGGCUAACUCCGUGCCAGCAGCCGCGGUAACACGGGGGGCGCAAGCGUUAUUCGGAAUUAUUGGGCGUAAAGGGCGCGUAGGCGGUUCUGUCGGUCAGAUGUGAAAGCCCGGGGCUCAACCCUGGAAGUGCAUUUGAAACAGCAGAACUUGAGUACGGGAGAGGAAAGCGGAAUUCCUGGUGUAGAGGUGAAAUUCGUAGAUAUCAGGAGGAACACCGAUGGCGAAGGCAGCUUUCUGGACCGAUACUGACGCUGAGGCGCGAAGGCGUGGGUAGCGAACAGGAUUAGAUACCCUGGUAGUCCACGCAGUAAACGAUGUUCACUAGGUGUAGCGGGUAUUAAAACUUGCUGUGCCGCAGCUAACGCAUUAAGUGAACCGCCUGGGAAGUACGGUCGCAAGACUA